UACGUAGGGCGCAAGCGUUUAUCCGGAAUUAUUGGGCGUAAAGAGCUCGUAGGCGGUUUGUCGCGUCUGCCGUGAAAGUCCGGGGCUCAACUCCGGAUCUGCGGUGGGUACGGGCAGACUAGAGUGAUGUAGGGGGAGACUGGAAUUCCCUGGUGUAGCGGUGAAAUGCGCAGAUAUCAGGAGGAACACCGAUGGCGAAGGCAGGUCUCUGGGCAUUAACUGACGCUGAGGAGCGAAAGCAUGGGGAGCGAACAGG
RNAcentral lists this ribosomal RNA (256 nucleotides) under uncultured bacterium. Its description in RNAcentral is "partial 16S ribosomal RNA". It matches the Rfam family "Bacterial small subunit ribosomal RNA", at positions 524 to 776 of the family's 1533-position model. The record is from RNAcentral.